RNAcentral lists this ribosomal RNA (1680 nucleotides) under Triticum aestivum (bread wheat). Its description in RNAcentral is "partial small subunit ribosomal RNA". Lineage: Eukaryota; Viridiplantae; Streptophyta; Magnoliopsida; Poales; Poaceae. The record is from RNAcentral.
AUGGUCUCCUCCAGCCCCGCCCCCACGGGGGCGGCGGUGCCCGAGUCACCGUCCACCAUCACGGACGGAGCCGUCAGCGGCGCACUCCCGCGGACGGAGGCCUUGGCCGUGCACUACCCCGGAUACCCCUCCUCUCCCGCUCGCGCCACCCAUACCCUCGGCGGCCUCCCCGCUAUCGCCAAGGUCCGGAGUUCCGACCCCGGCUCCCGCCUCGAGCUCCGCUUCCGCCCGGAGGACCCCGAUUGCCACCCGACCUUCGGCGAGCCCCGCGCCUCCACCGGCCUGCUCCUCCGCCUCUCAAGGCCCAAGGGAGGCUCCGCGCCACCGCGUGCUGAGGUGGUGGCGCGCGUCCGGACCGCCUACCAUUUCGAUGGCAUGGCAGAUUUUCAGCAUGUCGUCCCAGUUCAUGCUGCUCAAGUGAGAAAAAGAAAACGGUUAGAUUGUCCCAAUGUUAAAGAUGAUUUGGGCACUGAUAAGGCAGGAGGUCUAGACACGGAUGAUGGAGAUGUCAUGAUGUUGGUACCACCGCUCUUCGCAAUAAAGGAUAAUCCAACAAACAUAGCGCUUCUACCAUCGACCAAUGCACUAUCCAAGAGCAUGCAAAGGGGAGUUGUGCGGCAUCGGUGGGAGAUGGAUAUUGAACCAACCCUUGCACUUCCUUUCAACAUUCAAGCUGUCCCCAAGAAGGUUAACUGGGAAGACCACAUACCAAGGAAUUCGUCAGAGUGGAAUUCGCAGAUGGCUGUGUGCAAAUUAUUUGACGAGCGUCCUGUGUGGCCAAGACAGUCACUUUAUGAACGUUUGAUUGAUGAUGGUGUGCAUGUGUCAACAAGCCAGUUCAAAAGCCUUUUGUUUAAAGCUGGAUACUACUUCUCUACUGGACCCUUUGGUAAAUUCUGGAUCAAAAAAGAAUAUGAUCCUCGUAAAGAUCCUGAGUCACGAAUAUAUCAGCGAAUUGAUUUUCGCAUGCCUCCUGAGCUAAGGAAUCUUCAAACGAAAAGGCACAAUGGAUCUGAGAAGUGGUCAGAGAUGUGCAAGCUUGAAAGGAUGCCAUCGAAAAGUUUCAUCUUCCUGCAAUUAUUUGAACUGAAAGAUGACUUCAUUCAAGCCGAAAUUAGAAAACCUUCUCAUCAAUCAACUUGCUCACAUUCGACAGGUUGGUUUUCUAAGCCAAUGAUUAAAAGUUUGAGGUUACAACUAUGCAUAAGGUUCCUCUCAUUAUGUCCUAAUGAAGAUGCCAAAACCCUUUUGAGAAGUUCCCAUCAACUUCUUGAAAGGUCCAAAAAGCAGGAAGCUAUUUGCAGAUCUGAGCAACUGAAGGAAAGAAAAGAUGUUGAUGAAGAAGCUCCUGCUGAACAUGUUGGAUCUGAGGAUCAGAUGGACACUAACAACUCUGAUAGUGAAGAUGCUGAUGACGAGGAAGAGGAAGAUAAAGAGGAAUCAGAUGGUUAUGAUUCUCCAGCCAUGGCCGAGGAUGUUCCUGAUUUCGCCUUACAUGAGUCCUACACACUUGGAGAAGGCUUCUCCACUGGAUACCUUGAGGAGGUUUUGCGCAGCUUUCCACUGAAUGAAGAUGGCCAGAAUAAAUCAGGUGAUGCCCUUAAUAAUGGUGAAGCAAGUGAUGGGGAGUUUGAAAUUUUCGAACAGCCUAGUGACGAUGAAGAAUAUUCCGAUGGUUAG